RNAcentral lists this ribosomal RNA (253 nucleotides) under uncultured bacterium. RNAcentral's name for it is "partial 16S ribosomal RNA". It matches the Rfam family "Bacterial small subunit ribosomal RNA", at positions 524 to 776 of the family's 1533-position model. The record is from RNAcentral.
UACGAAGGGUGCAAGCGUUGCUCGGAAUUAUUGGGCGUAAAGGGUAUGUAGGUGGUAAUAAAAGUCUGGGGUGAAAUCCCUGAGCUCAACUCAGGACGUGCCUUGGAAACUUUAUUACUAGAGUGCUGGAGAGGUUUGCAGAAUUCCCGGUGUAGCGGUGAAAUGCGUAGAGAUCGGGAGGAAUACCAGAGGCGAAGGCGGCAAACUGGACAGUCACUGACACUCAACUACGAAAGCGUGGGUAGCAAACAGG